Molecule: transfer RNA, 78 nt
Filed under: Nitrospinota bacterium
Lineage: Bacteria; Pseudomonadati; Nitrospinota
Description: tRNA-Pro
Rfam family: tRNA
About the family: Transfer RNA (tRNA) molecules are approximately 80 nucleotides in length. Their secondary structure includes four short double-helical elements and three loops (D, anti-codon, and T loops).
Source: RNAcentral
CGGGACGUGGCUCAGCUCUGGUAGAGCACUGCGUUCGGGACGCAGGGGUCGCUGGUUCAAAUCCAGUCGUCCCGACCA